AAUUAAACAUUUAUAUUAAUAAACAGCAUACUCAUAAGCUUCCUAAGAUGAAACAGUAAUGAUUAAAAGCAUAAUUAUAAUCAUGUGCAAAUUCUCAGACAAAUCAAUUUAGUGGAGAUAAGGGAGCUUGAGGGGGAGAUAAGGGAGAUGGAGCUAUUAGAGUUGGAAGACCUCUAACUACUUAUCAUGGAGAGCUUCAGCUGAUCAAUCUCAUUCUUCAUUUCCAUCAUCUGCUGUUUCUCAUUAACAAUCUACUGUUGCAACACCUCAACUUGUAGCUUUAAAGCAAUAAUCUGCGGAUCAGAUGAUAAUGAUGCCCCCAUUAUGGAAGAUGAAUCGCGAGGGUAAUAAAUGAUGCUUGAUGAAGUCAAAUUAUAUAUCUUGUUAA
RNAcentral lists this unclassified non-coding RNA (388 nucleotides) under Hevea brasiliensis (rubber tree). Lineage: Eukaryota; Viridiplantae; Streptophyta; Magnoliopsida; Malpighiales; Euphorbiaceae. The record is from RNAcentral.